RNAcentral lists this ribosomal RNA (738 nucleotides) under Schleiferiaceae bacterium. RNAcentral describes it as "bacterial SSU rRNA". It matches the Rfam family "Bacterial small subunit ribosomal RNA", at positions 94 to 830 of the family's 1533-position model. Lineage: Bacteria; Pseudomonadati; Bacteroidota; Flavobacteriia; Flavobacteriales; Schleiferiaceae. The record is from RNAcentral.
AGUGGCGCACGGGUGCGUAACGCGUAUGCAACCUACCCUAUACAGGGGGAUAGCCCGGAGAAAUCCGGAUUAAUACCCCGUAGUAUUAUUGUUCCGCAUGGGGCAAUAAUUAAAGCUGAGGCGGUAUAGGAUGGGCAUGCGUCCGAUUAGGUAGUUGGUAGGGUAACGGCCUACCAAGCCGACGAUCGGUAGGGGAACUGAGAGGUUGAUCCCCCACACUGGUACUGAGACACGGACCAGACUCCUACGGGAGGCAGCAGUGAGGAAUAUUGGGCAAUGGCCGAGAGGCUGACCCAGCCAUGCCGCGUGCAGGAAGAAGGCCCUAUGGGUUGUAAACUGCUUUUCUCAGGGAGUAACCCCAGGCUUGCGAGCCUGGCUGAAAGUACCUGAGGAAUAAGCAUCGGCUAACUCCGUGCCAGCAGCCGCGGUAAUACGGAGGAUGCGAGCGUUAUCCGGAUUUAUUGGGUUUAAAGGGUCCGUAGGCGGUUUGUUAAGUCAGGGGUGAAAUCCUUCAGCUCAACUGAAGAAUUGCCUUUGAUACUGGCAGGCUAGAGUGCGACAGAGGUGGAUGGAAUGUGUCAAGUAGCGGUGAAAUGCAUAGAUAUGACACAGAACACCGAUUGCGAAGGCAGUUCACUGGGUCGCAACUGACGCUGAUGGACGAAAGCGUGGGGAGCAAACAGGAUUAGAUACCCUGGUAGUCCACGCUGUAAACGAUGAUUACUCGCUGUUGGAUAC